UAGGUUUCUGCCAGCUUUCUCAUAUCAGUCAUCAGUGAAAAGGGCAUAAAUAUAGGCCUACAGGCACCUGCAAGUCCCCUGGUCCUCCACGUGGAAGUUGUGCUGAGGAGAGGCUUCCUAAAGCAUGAGUUCUGCUGACUUGCAACAGUGUUUGCAGGCAGACUGGCAUUUUCUGGAGAUAAGACCACAAAACUGUUCAGGAGAAAAUUAUUGGUGAAGGACUGCAACCAAACAGUGUUUCCACUUGAAGUAUGAAUGUCUACCUGCCUGAUGAGACCUCAUUUACACCUUGUCUUGGCAAGCUGCUCCACGGCUGAGUGUUGGUGGUGGUCAAGUGCCUGUGCACACGAGGGCUCUCUCUACCUGGAGCUCCCCUGCUGAUUCUCUGACUUCCAGCUGAUCCUUUGGAAGUGGAGCUUAAGUAUUGGACUCUGUAUUUAUUUCUCCUCUCUGAUUGUACCAUGCUGUGUAAUAUAUUUGAAUAGAUAACAUGUGGCAUGGCUUCCGUAGCCAGGUUAUGCAAUAUGGGUAAUGUGCACACGUAAUGGGCUAUUCCUGUAAUAAAUGUGUGUAAGUAUACUAUGCUUGAUUUGACUCCACUGAAUGCAGAUGAGGGAGGCAGUACUGUUCAGUACUAUUGCUUCUAAUCUGGGGCUAAUAUCGGGUUGCCAAAAAUGCUACCUAUCAAAGAAGUAUAUUGCAUUUGGACACGAAGGAUGUAUAUGCAAGAAGUUAAUGCAUGAUUACUUCCUAGUAUGCUUGGUUGCCUUAAAAGUAUGCUAAAGGAAACCAAAUAUAUUACCUAUAUGUCAGUACAGUACUGCCAGCAUCAGGCUUUCCCAAAUCACAGGACCAGCUUAAAAAUCAAUGCAUUUGUUUUCUACUU
Molecule: long non-coding RNA, 886 nt
Organism: Cygnus olor (mute swan)
Lineage: Eukaryota; Metazoa; Chordata; Aves; Anseriformes; Anatidae
Exons: 3
Source: RefSeq, a predicted model, not a curated record